Molecule: long non-coding RNA, 2007 nt
Organism: Chelonia mydas (Green sea turtle)
Lineage: Eukaryota; Metazoa; Chordata; Testudines; Cheloniidae
Exons: 3
Source: RefSeq, a predicted model, not a curated record
GGGGGAGGGGGUCCAGCCCAGCAACGCCCACGCCCACCCCCUGCCUCUGCGGGUGAUUUAGCAACCUCUCAGUCAGUAACCAGGGACACGCCCCCCAUGCAGUCUCCAUGGCAACAGCCAAUGGGAGCCCGACAGACCAUGUCACCCUGGAACAAUGCAACCAGGAAGCUGGGGGGGGGGGACCCAUCCUGGCCCUGGAAUCCCUGGGGGCCCCGGGGGGAGGGAAACGGGGCUGCUGUGAUGGCAGGUGUUCUGGAGAGACGGCCAAGGGCUGCAGGGACCAGCAGGAUCACAGGAGCAGUGCCAGGGCGACAGGCGGAGUCGCAGGCAGCGAUUGUUAGGGCGACAGGCGGAGUCGCAGGCAGCGAUUGUUAGGGCGACAGGCGGAGGAACAGGCAGCGAUGUUAGGGCGACAGGCGGAGGAACAGGCAGCGAUUGUUAGGGCGACAGGCGGAGUCGCAGGCAGCGAUUGUUAGGGCGACAGGCGGAGUCACAGGCAGGGAUUGUUAGGGGGACGGGCGGAGUCACAGGCAGCGAUUGUUAGGGCGACAGGCGGAGUCGCAGGCAGCGAUUGUUAGGGCGACAGGCGGAGUCGCAGGCAGCGAUUGUUAGGGGGACAGGCGGAGUCACAGGCAGCGAUGUUAGGGCGACAGGCGGAGUCGCAGGCAGCGAUUGUUAGGGUGACAGGUGCAGUAACAGGCAGCGAUUGUUAGGGGGACAGGCGGAGGAACAGGCAGCGAUUGUUAGGGGGACAGGCGGAGGAACAGGCAGCGAUUGUUAGGGGGACAGGCGGAGUCACAGGCAGGGAUUGUUAGGGGGACAGGCAGAGGAACAGGCAGCGAUUGUUAGGACGACAGGCGGAGUCGCAGGCAGCGAUUGUUAGGGCGACAGGCGGAGUCACAGGCAGCGAUGUUAGGGCAACAGGCGGAGUCACAGGCAGCGAUGUUAGGGGGACAGGCGGAGUCGCAGGCAGCGAUUGUUAGGGCGACAGGCGGAGUCACAGGCAGCGAUGUUAGGGGGACAGGCAGAGGAACAGGCAGCGAUGUUAGGGGGACAGGCGGAGUCACAGGCAGCGAUUGUUAGGGCGACAGGCGGAGGAACAGGCAGCGAUGUUAGGGCAACAGGCGGAGUCACAGGCAGCGAUGUUAGGGGGACAGGUGGAGUCACAGGCAGCGAUGUUAGGACAACAGGCGGAGUCGCAGGCAGCGAUUGUUAGGGCGACAGGCGGAGUCACAGGCAGGGAUUGUUAGGGCGACAGGCGGAGUCACAGGCAGGGAUUGUUAGGGGGACGGGCGGAGUCACAGGCAGCGAUUGUUAGGGCGACAGGCGGAGUCGCAGGCAGCGAUUGUUAGGGCGACAGGCGGAGUCGCAGGCAGCGAUUGUUAGGGGGACAGGCGGAGUCACAGGCAGCGAUGUUAGGGCGACAGGCGGAGUCGCAGGCAGCGAUUGUUAGGGUGACAGGUGCAGUAACAGGCAGCGAUUGUUAGGGGGACAGGCGGAGUCACAGGCAGGGAUUGUUAGGGGGACAGGCAGAGGAACAGGCAGCGAUUGUUAGGACGACAGGCGGAGUCGCAGGCAGCGAUUGUUAGGGCGACAGGCGGAGUCACAGGCAGCGAUGUUAGGGCAACAGGCGGAGUCACAGGCAGCGAUGUUAGGGGGACAGGCGGAGUCGCAGGCAGCGAUUGUUAGGGCGACAGGCGGAGUCACAGGCAGCGAUGUUAGGGGGACAGGCAGAGGAACAGGCAGCGAUGUUAGGGGGACAGGCGGAGUCACAGGCAGCGAUUGUUAGGGCGACAGGCGGAGUCACAGGCAGCGAUUGUUAGGGCGACAGGUGGAGUCACAGGCAGCGAUUGUUAGGGCGACAGGCGGAGGAACAGGCGGAGGAAUGGGCAGCGAUUGUUAGGGCGACAGGCGGAGUCACAGGCAGCGAUGUUAGGGUGACAGGCGGAGUCACAGGCAGCGAUGUUAGGGGACAGGCGGAGGGACAGGCAGAGAAACACACACAAC